CACUUUAUAACACACUGCUGUUUACCGCGGUACAAACCCAGCAAACACAAUGAAUCUCUUCAGCGGCUUCAUCUGGAUUCUCACAGCUUUUAUUCCAGCGUCCAGAGGAAUCACUGUGACUCAGCCUGAACUUCUGACUGUUCCUGAAGGACAAAACGCCAGAAUACAGUGUAAAACUGAUGUUGAAAUAGAGGGCUUUGGUUUAGCUUGGUAUCAGCAGAAACAUGGAGAAGCUCCUAAACUCAUCAUUUAUCUGGUGAAUAACCUUUAUAAUCAGAGUUUCAGUCGAUUCAGUGGGGAUGGAGAAUUGGAAGGAACAGAUUUCACUCUGAGCAUCAGUGGAGUCCAGACUGAAGAUGCUGGACAUUAUUACUGUCAGAGUGUUCAUGAAAUCAACAGUGGUGAUGUGUUGACACAGUGA
Danio aesculapii is the source of this 421-nucleotide non-coding RNA. NCBI's taxonomy places the organism in Eukaryota, Metazoa, Chordata, Actinopteri, Cypriniformes, Danionidae. The record is from the annotation of a RefSeq genome assembly.